UACGUAGGCAGCGAGCGUUGUUCGGAGUUACUGGGCGUAAAGGGUGUGUAGGCGGUUGUUUAAGCUUGGUGUGAAAUCUCCCGGCUCAACUGGGAGGGUGCGCCGAAUACUGAAUGACUAGAGUGCGGGAGAGGAAAGUGGAAUUCCUGGUGUAGCGGUGAAAUGCGUAGAUAUCAGGAGGAACACCGGUGGCGAAGGCGGGUCUCUGGGCCGAAAUUGACGCUGAGGAGCGAAAGCGUGGGGAGCAAACAGG
This 253-nucleotide ribosomal RNA is filed under the name uncultured bacterium. RNAcentral describes it as "partial 16S ribosomal RNA". It matches the Rfam family "Bacterial small subunit ribosomal RNA", at positions 524 to 776 of the family's 1533-position model. The record is from RNAcentral.